GAGGGAAUCUUCCACAAUGGGCGCAAGCCUGAUGGAGCAACACCGCGUGAGUGAAGAAGGGUUUCGGCUCGUAAAGCUCUGUUGUUAAAGAAGAACACGUAUGAGAGUAACUGUUCAUACGUUGACGGUAUUUAACCAGAAAGUCACGGCUAACUACGUGCCAG
This 164-nucleotide ribosomal RNA is filed under the name uncultured bacterium. RNAcentral describes it as "partial 16S rRNA". It matches the Rfam family "Bacterial small subunit ribosomal RNA", at positions 355 to 511 of the family's 1533-position model. The record is from RNAcentral.